This 1484-nucleotide long non-coding RNA is filed under the name Camelus dromedarius (Arabian camel). RNAcentral describes it as "lncRNA (ENSCDRG00005005395.1)". The record is from RNAcentral. Lineage: Eukaryota; Metazoa; Chordata; Mammalia; Artiodactyla; Camelidae.
GCAUGUUUUCUGCCCUCUCCCAGGGGUGUCCUGAUAAACAGUUAACAUUAAGCUUUGGGCAAGGUUAGGGGAUGGGGAGGCAUCUUUGUAGUGUUUACCAAUUUCCAUAUUAUAAAUACUCCCACCAUGGCUGAUUUUAGGUUAUCAACAUGAGUUCACUGAAUGCAGAGCUGGGAAGAGAUUAUCAGAAUCAGCUCUCUCAAACCAAUAUGAACCUGCUCCAGCACACCCAAGAGAGAAUUUCUUUUCUUUUUUGCUGCCUCUUUGUUCACUGCUGAAACCAAGAUCUGCUCCCUCUCAGGCAGAGGACCAGGAAUACCUCUCUGAUGUGGCUCCUGCAGAAGUAAGAGUUUUUUUAUGCCUAGAAGAUAGAGGAGGUCUUCAGAUGAGAAGCCCAAAGCAGUGCUCAGGCACAGCUUACCAAGGAACUCAUAACAAAUGACUAGGCCAGGAGGCCUCCUCAAAUUCUAAAGUACAAAAAUUCUUUCUGUUCCUCUUCUCAAACCUAAUCGGACUCUGGACACACCCAGCAACUCAGUGUGCCCUUUAGUUAACUCUUUGUCUCCUCUCACAAUGAUUUCCUUUUACUUUAGAGAAACUUCUGCCAGUAACAAAAAUAUAAGCCAGGAGGAAAAAGAACUGGAAGAGGAAGAACACGUUUUUCUUAAUUCUUUUCAAAAUAUGUGAGGGGGAAAAAAAGUGGAGAAAUAUGCCACUCACUCUGGACAAAGUGUCUUGGAAGCAAGGCCUAAAAAGAUAGCCAUUAUGGCAACCAAAGGUGGAUGUAAUUACAAAUGAAGACUUUGGGGGAAUCUCUAAAACAAUUCCUACAAAGGGUGCAGUUCAGAAAAAUCUAUGCAAAGGAUGAAAGAAAGACAACACUGGAACCUCAUGAGAGCAGAGAAAAAGCAAAAGGUGAGACGUGAAAGAGGAGGUGGGAAGCAGAGGAAGGGGUGAGUGUGGGUAGCCACCAGCAGGGCUGCACCAGGGUGACCAUCUUACAUUUACAAUUCAAUGUAAGAAAAUGCAUGUCUUUGAAAAAAGCAGGUGAAGAAAGUAGAACUUCAAUGUUCUUAUACACACACACACACACACACACACACACACCACACAAAGGUAAAUGUGUGAAUAUGCGGACAGUACAGAGGAGCAUAAGUAAAAUGUGAAAGUCUCUCCCCUGCCCCCACCCCCAACAAACACACACCCACUAACGGGCGGGACAGGUGCCGUGUGGGACAGGUGCCGGGGUGGACAGGCAGGAGGCUGUGCAGCCCUGAGACUGUGGCCGCAUGCUGACCUGCUGAAGGCCAGUCCUGGACACUGCGGUUUAAACCAAACUUUCAGCCAAUGGCUUCACAGGAAGCCCUUAGACAGGCUUCCUGCACCCUGAAAAUCCUCACCUAAUUCUCAGCAAAUGUGAGACCUAUUGCCAAAAACAACCACCACCUCCCUAUUUUAUAUAAUUGGCAAAAUACAAAAACAAC